CAGGUUGGUCCGCUUUUUGAGCGAGUAUCAAAACCCGCCCCGGCAUCACUGUGGGGAGUGUCAAUAUGCUUGAUUGCAUAUAGCGCAAGUCGCAGCUUUUACUUUGAGGAAAAUAGAGUGUUCACGGCAGGUCAAAGCCUCGAAUAUAUUAGCAUGGAAUAAUAUUAUAGGACUCAUGUUCUUAUUUUGUUGGUUUCAGGAGCUAGAGUAAUGGUCGAUAGGGAUUGCUGGGGGCAUUUGUAUUAACGCGUCAGAGGUGGAAUUCUUGGAUUGCGUUACGACAAACUACUGCGAAAGCAUUUGUCAAGAAUGUUUUCAUUGAUCAAGAACGAAAGUAUGGGGAUCGAAGAUGAUUAGAUACCGUCGUAGUCUAUACCAUAAACUAUGCCGACUAGGGAUUGGAGGUCGUUCUAUCUGUGACCCCUUCAGCACCUUACGAGAAAUCAGAGUCUUUGGGUUCCGGGGGGAGUAUGGUCGCAAGGCUGAAACUUAAAGGAAUUGACGGAAGGGCACCACCAGGAGUGGAGCCUGCGGCUUAAUUUGACUCAACACGGGGAAACUCACCAGGUCCAGACAUAGUAAAGGAUUGACAGAUUGAUAGAUCUUUCUUGAUUCUAUGGGUGGUGGUGCAUGGCCGUUCUUAGAUUGGUGGAG
RNAcentral lists this ribosomal RNA (654 nucleotides) under uncultured eukaryote. RNAcentral describes it as "bacterial SSU rRNA". It matches the Rfam family "Eukaryotic small subunit ribosomal RNA", at positions 650 to 1306 of the family's 1831-position model. The record is from RNAcentral.